Molecule: ribosomal RNA, 521 nt
Filed under: uncultured archaeon
Lineage: Archaea
Description: bacterial SSU rRNA
Rfam family: Archaeal small subunit ribosomal RNA
Source: RNAcentral
ACGGGGUGCAGCAGGCGCGAAAUCUUCACAAUGUGCGAAAGCACGAUGAGGGAAUCCCAAGUGCUAGCACGUAAGUGUUAGCUGUUUCUUAGUCUAAAAAACUGAGAGAGUAAGAGCUGGGUAAGACGGGUGCCAGCCGCCGCGGUAAUACCUGCAGCUCAGGUGGUGGCCGCUAUUAUUGGGCCUAAAACGUCCGUAGCCUGUUUAGUAAAUGCUUGGGUAAAUUGUGUAGCUUAACUAUACGAACACCGGGUAGACUACUAAACUUGGGACCGGGAGAGGCUAGAGGUACUCCUAGGGUAGAGGUGAAAUUCUGUAAUCCUAGGGGGACCACCAGUGGCGAAGGCGUCUAGCUAGAACGGGUCUGACGGUGAGGGACGAAGCCCUGGGGCGCGAACCGGAUUAGAUACCCGGGUAGUCCAGGGUGUAAACGCUGCUUGCUUGAUGUUAGUUGGGCUCCGAGCCCAACUAGUGUCGGAGAGAAGUUGUUAAGCAAGCUGCCUGGAAGUACGUCGCAAGAC